AUGAGCUACCCGCCGCCGGGCACCGCGUACCCUCCGCCGGGCCAGCAGCAGCCGUACCCGCCGCCGGGCAACGGUUACGGCUACCCUCCUCCGGGCCAGGAGCAGCAGCAGCAGGCCUACCCUCCGCCGGCGUACGGCGCGCCGCCGCCUGUCGCCGCCGACUACUACCAGCCCAAGGACGGCGGCGCGUACCCGCAGCAGCAGCAGCAGGCGUACGGCGCGCCGCCGCCCGUCGCCGCCAACUACUACCCGCCGCCGCAGCAGCAGCAGGCCCCGCCGCCGCCGCCGGAGGCGCAGAGCCGCGGCAGUGACGGCUUCUGGAAAGGAUGCUGCGCCGCAAUCUGCUGCUGCUGCCUGCUCGACAUGUGCCUCUGA
RNAcentral lists this ribosomal RNA (375 nucleotides) under Triticum aestivum (bread wheat). RNAcentral's name for it is "partial small subunit ribosomal RNA". The record is from RNAcentral. Lineage: Eukaryota; Viridiplantae; Streptophyta; Magnoliopsida; Poales; Poaceae.